GAUGAACGCUGGCGGCGUGCCUAAUACAUGCAAGUCGAGCGAACGGACGAGAAGCUUGCUUCUCUGAUGUUAGCGGCGGACGGGUGAGUAACACGUGGAUAACCUACCUAUAAGACUGGGAUAACUUCGGGAAACCGGAGCUAAUACCGGAUAAUAUUUUGAACCGCAUGGUUCAAAAGUGAAAGACGGUCUUGCUGUCACUUAUAGAUGGAUCCGCGCUGCAUUAGCUAGUUGGUAAGGUAACGGCUUACCAAGGCAACGAUGCAUAGCCGACCUGAGAGGGUGAUCGGCCACCCUGGAACUGAGACACGGUCCAGACUCCUACGGGAGGCCGCAGUAGGGAAUCUUCCGCAAAGGGCGAAAGCCUGACGGAGCAACGCCGCGUGAGUUAUGAAGGUCUUCGGAUCGUAAAACUCUGUUAUUAGGGAAGAACAUAUGUGUAAGUAACUGUGCACAUCUUGACGGUACCUAAUCAGAAAGCCACGGCUAACUACGUG
Molecule: ribosomal RNA, 497 nt
Filed under: uncultured bacterium
Lineage: Bacteria
Description: partial 16S ribosomal RNA
Rfam family: Bacterial small subunit ribosomal RNA
Source: RNAcentral